CCAGUUUCAGUGGGGGACCUCUGGUCUGUUGUCUUCCUACUGAUGAGCAGGUUAGUAUAUGGCUGUUUGUGGUAACUUUGUGUAUAUGUGUAUUGUGCUACCAUAUUCCCUCAGAUGCAUUUUGUUUUUUUCUAAAUAAAACAAAUGCAGUUUUGUCUAGCCUUUCUUCAUAACAAAUUAAUUAAUUAAUGUUGUAGCCUAUCUCUGCACUUUUUU
This is a non-coding RNA of Pelobates cultripes (western spadefoot toad), 216 nucleotides long. Lineage: Eukaryota; Metazoa; Chordata; Amphibia; Anura; Pelobatidae. The record is from the annotation of a GenBank genome assembly.